GUGGCCGGCCAUGUGGUGUUUUAGAGUGGUGUGAACCCAAAUUUUAUAAAAUUUAAAUGUCAUUUAAUUAAGAGGUCAAGUGGGCAAGUGGGUAGAAAAGCACUCAAGUACCUUGUGAUAUUUUGAAGAGUAUUGUGAGCAAUUCCCACACUAAGAACCGAUCACUCUCCAUCUCUCAUUCACUAUCAUCUUUUUUGAAGACCUCUCAAAGUGUUCUCUCCAUUUUUCAAGCCCAAGAACACCAAGGAAACUUUGAGGCUAAGUCUUGGUCUAGGAAGUAUUUUCCCUAAGUUUGUUAGGGUUUUUGAAAGGUUUUGAAGGAGUCAAAGCUUAUAGGAAGGUCCAAACCUUAAGCAAGAACACCAAAGAGUAUUGGCUAAGCGUAACUGGACUGAACGUUGGAGGGUGAAAACUUGCUGAGCGCUAAGGACUCCAAGUAAGAACAAGGGCAGGGCAGAGCAGUGAGCGCUGGAGUCUUCCUUGCAAAUGUACAAGUGGACCGACCUUUUGGGAAGCCUUUUUAUUUUUGGAAAUGUUGUGUAAUUUUCCUAAACUAGGCUCACUCUAAUCUUUAUAAAACAUGUUUGUAACUAAAUGUUAAGUAUGACCAUACGACUUUUUAAAAAGUUUUUUUUUCUAUGGGUUUUUGAGACAUUUUGUUAAAUGAAAACAUUUAUAUUUCCGCAUUA
This is a long non-coding RNA of Humulus lupulus (European hop), 689 nucleotides long. RefSeq lists it as uncharacterized. NCBI's taxonomy places the organism in Eukaryota, Viridiplantae, Streptophyta, Magnoliopsida, Rosales, Cannabaceae. The record is from RefSeq and is a predicted model, not a curated record. The transcript has 4 exons.